AGGUCCCACUGAGCCGUUCU
RNAcentral lists this unclassified non-coding RNA (20 nucleotides) under Mus musculus (house mouse). RNAcentral's name for it is "oocyte_clustered_small_RNA4329". Lineage: Eukaryota; Metazoa; Chordata; Mammalia; Rodentia; Muridae. The record is from RNAcentral.